RNAcentral lists this long non-coding RNA (475 nucleotides) under Bos taurus (domestic cattle). RNAcentral describes it as "long non-coding RNA NONBTAT011754". Lineage: Eukaryota; Metazoa; Chordata; Mammalia; Artiodactyla; Bovidae. The record is from RNAcentral.
AACAUCCAUCCAGAAGCCCACUGUAUUAUAGAGUAAUUGACUUCAAUUGUUUGAGUUGCUAUUAACCAAUGAAUGAAGUUUCCAGUAAUGUCAUUUGUAAUCUGGCUUUUAUCGUCUAUUUGCCUUCCCCUGAAUUAGCAUACUUUUAAAUAAAGCCAGCUUUUCCCACUAUCCUCAUGAAAGAAGAAUAUCUGGGUUUCGUCUAGAUUGGUAGGUCCAAACAAAUCCAUAUGUGUAGCACUUGCUUAAUCUGUCCAGAACAGAGGAAGGAAUUAUAUAGUCCUCUGGGAAUAACCACAUCGAAACAGAAGGAACGGCUAAACCAGGAGUCUAAGAUGAGCACCACUGAAUCUCUUAGCACAUCCUAGGAUGUCUCAGCCUCCUGGCAAGUUUCUCUUGGCGACCUGAUUGUGAAAGGUGGGAUCUUAGCUAUGCUUCACGCAGACCUGGCACCUGCUGAUUUUCUGGCGUUGAG